RNAcentral lists this ribosomal RNA (253 nucleotides) under uncultured bacterium. RNAcentral describes it as "partial 16S ribosomal RNA". It matches the Rfam family "Bacterial small subunit ribosomal RNA", at positions 524 to 776 of the family's 1533-position model. The record is from RNAcentral.
UACGUAGGGUGCGAGCGUUGUCCGGAAUUACUGGGCGUAAAGAGCUCGUAGGUGGUUUGUCGCGUUGUUCGUGAAAACUCACAGCUUAACUGUGGGCGUGCGGGCGAUACGGGCAGACUGGAGUACUGCAGGGGAGACUGGAAUUCCUGGUGUAGCGGUGGAAUGCGCAGAUAUCGGGAGGAACACCAGUGGCGAAGGCGGCCGGCUGGGGGUGACCUGACGCUGAGGCGCGAAAGCGUGGGGAGCGAACCGG